This 1426-nucleotide ribosomal RNA is filed under the name metagenome. Its description in RNAcentral is "bacterial SSU rRNA". It matches the Rfam family "Archaeal small subunit ribosomal RNA". The record is from RNAcentral.
UCCCGUUGAUCCUGCGGGAGGUUGCUGCUAUUAGAGUUCGACUAAGCCAUGCAAGUCAGGUAGUAAUACCGGCAGACUGCUCAGUAACACAUCGAUGAUCUGCCCUUAGAUUCGGAAUAACCUUGGGAAACUGAGGGUAAAACCGAAUAGGAAAAAUCUGUUGAAUUCAGAUAUUUCUCAAAAGUAAUGUCUAAGGAUGAGUCGGCGGCCAAUUAGGCUGUUGGUGAGGUAAUGGCUCACCAAACCAGAGAUUGGUACGGGCCUUGAGAGAGGUAACCCGGAGAAGGGCACUGAGAUACUGGCCCUAGCCCUACGGGGUGCAGCAGGCGCGGAACCUUUACACUGCACGAAAGUGUGAUAAGGGGACUCUAAGUGCUUUAGUUUUACUAAGGCUUUUGUUAAGAGUAAAUAUCUUGGCGAAUAAGUGGUGGGCAAGACUGGUGCCAGCCGCCGCGGUAACACCAGCGCCACGAGUGGCAACCACAAUUAUUGGGCCUAAAGCGUCCGUAGCUGGUUCAGUAAAUUUUUUGUGAAAUUGUUAGGCUUAACCUAGCAACGAGCAAGAAAGACUGCUGAACUUGAGACCAGAGGGGGUAAGAUGUAUUUUGAGGGGAGCGGUAAAAUGCUAUAAUCCUCAGAAGACGACCUGUGGCGAAGGCGUCUUACCAAUAUGGUUCUGACAGUGAGGGACGAAAGCUAGGGGAGCAAUCCGGAUUAGAUACCCGAGUAGUCCUAGCUGUAAACGCUGCGAGCUAGGUGUUGCAUAUUCUUCGUGAAUAUGCAGUGUCGAAGCGAAGGUGAUAAGCUCGCCGCCUGGGAAGUACGGUCGCAAGACUGAAACUUAAAGGAAUUGGCGGGGGAGCACUACAAGGGGUGCGGCGUGCGGUUUAAUCUAACUCAACGCAGAGAAUCUCACCAGGGGCGACGGCAGGAUGAAAGUCAGUUUUAAGAGCUUACUAGACGAGCCGAGAGGUAGUGCAUGGCCGCCGUCAGCUCAUGCCGUAAGGUGUCCUGUUAAGUCAGGUAACGAGCAAGACCUGCACUUACAAUUGCCAGCGAGCAUUUAUGUGAUCGGGCACAUUGUAAGGACUGCCUUGGAAACAAGGAGGAAGGUGCAGGCUACGGUAGGUCUGUACGCUCCGAAUCCUUUGGGCUACACGCGCGCGACAAUGGUAAGGACAAUGGGACACAACUCCGAGAGGAGAAGUUUAUCCUCUAAACCUUAUCCAAGUUCAGAUUGAGGUUUGUAACUCAGCCUCAUGACGCUGGAAUCCCUAGUAAUCGGACGUUAAUAUCGUCCGGUGAAUAUGUCCCUGCUCCUUGCACACACCGCCCGUCAAACCUCCCGAGUAGGGUUUAGAUGAGGCCUGAUUUAUAAUCAGUUCGAAUCUAAACUCAGCGAGGAGGGUUAAGUCGUCACAAGGUA